GAUGAACGCUGGCGGCGUGCCUAAUACAUGCAAGUCGAGCGAACGGACGAGAAGCUUGCUUCUCUGAUGUUAGCGGCGGACGGGUGAGUAACACGUGGAUAACCUACCUAUAAGACUGGGAUAACUUCGGGAAACCGGAGCUAAUACCGGAUAAUAUUUUGAACCGCAUGGUUCAAAAGUGAAAGACGGUCUUGCUGUCACUUAUAGAUGGAUCCGCGCUGCAUUAGCUAGUUGGUAAGGUAACGGCUUACCAAGGCAACGACGCAUAGCCGACCUGAGAGGGUGAUCGGCCACACUGGAACUGAGACACGGUCCAGACUCCUACGGGAGGCAGCAGUAGGGAAUCUUCCGCAAUGGGCGAAAGCCUGACGGAGCAACGCCGCGUGAGUGAUGAAGGUCUUCGGAUCGUAAAACUCUGUUAUUAGGGAAGAACAUAUGUGUAAGUAACUGUGCACAUCUUGACGGUACCUAAUCAGAAAGCCACGGCUAACUACGUGCCAGCAGCCGCGGUAAUACGUAGGCGGCAAGCGUUAUCCGGAAUUAUUGGGCGUAAAGCGCGCGUAGGCGGUUUUUUAAGUCUGAUGUGAAAGCCCACGGCUCAACCGUGGAGGGUCAUUGGAAACUGGAAAACUUGAGUGCAGAAGAGGAAAGUGGAAUUCCAUGUGUAGCGGUGAAAUGCGCAGAGAUAUGGAGGAACACCAGUGGCGAAGGCGACUUUCUGGUCUGUAACUGACGCUGAUGUGCGAAAGCGUGGGGAUCAAACAGGAUUAGAUACCCUGGUAGUCCACGCCGUAAACGAUGAGUGCUAAGUGUUAGGGGGUUUCCGCCCCUUAGUGCUGCAGCUAACGCAUUAAGCACUCCGCCUGGGGAGUACGACCGCAAGGUUGAAACUCAAAGGAAUUGACGGGGACCCGCACAAGCGGUGGAGCAUGUGGUUUAAUUCGAAGCAACGCGAAGAACCUUACCAAAUCUUGACAUCCUUUGACAACUCUAGAGAUAGAGCUUUCCCCUUCGGGGGACAAAGUGACAGGUGGUGCAUGGUUGUCGUCAGCUCGUGUCGUGAGAUGUUGGGUUAAGUCCCGCAACGAGCGCAACCCUUAAGCUUAGUUGCCAUCAUUAAGUUGGGCACUCUAAGUUGACUGCCGGUGACAAACCGGAGGAAGGUGGGGAUGACGUCAAAUCAUCAUGCCCCUUAUGAUUUGGGCUACACACGUGCUACAAUGGACAAUACAAAGGGCAGCGAAACCGCGAGGUCAAGCAAAUCCCAUAAAGUUGUUCUCAGUUCGGAUUGUAGUCUGCAACUCGACUACAUGAAGCUGGAAUCGCUAGUAAUCGUAGAUCAGCAUGCUACGGUGAAUACGUUCCCGGGUCU
This 1372-nucleotide ribosomal RNA is filed under the name uncultured bacterium. RNAcentral's name for it is "bacterial SSU rRNA". It matches the Rfam family "Bacterial small subunit ribosomal RNA", at positions 28 to 1381 of the family's 1533-position model. The record is from RNAcentral.